ACCCGCUGAACUUAAGCAUAUCAAUAAGCGGAGGAAAAGAAACCAACAGGGAUUGCCCUAGUAACGGCGAGUGAAGCGGCAACAGCUCAAAUUUGAAAUCUGGCUUUCGGGCCCGAGUUGUAAUUUGUAGAGGAUACUUUUGAUGCGGUGCCUUCCGAGUUCCCUGGAACGGGACGCCAUAGAGGGUGAGAGCCCCGUCUGGUUGGAUGCCAAAUCUCUGUAAAGUUCCUUCGACGAGUCGAGUAGUUUGGGAAUGCUGCUCUAAAUGGGAGGUAUAUGUCUUCUAAAGCUAAAUAUUGGCCAGAGACCGAUAGCGCACAAGUAGAGUGAUCGAAAGAUGAAAAGCACUUUGAAAAGAGAGUUAAAAAGUACGUGAAAUUGUUGAAAGGGAAGCGUUUAUGACCAGACUUGGACUUGGUUAAUCGUCUGGGGUUCUCUCCAGUGCACUUUUCCAGUUCAGGCCAGCAUCAGUUUUCGCCGGGGGAUAAAGGCAGCGGGAAUGUGGCUCUCUUCGGGGAGUGUUAUAGCCCGCUGUGUAAUACCCUGGUGGGGACUGAGGUUCGCGCUUCUGCAAGGAUGCUGGCGUAAUGGUCAU
Molecule: ribosomal RNA, 595 nt
Filed under: uncultured fungus
Lineage: Eukaryota; Fungi
Description: eukaryotic LSU rRNA
Rfam family: Eukaryotic large subunit ribosomal RNA
Source: RNAcentral